Molecule: transfer RNA, 76 nt
Filed under: Mycobacterium intracellulare
Lineage: Bacteria; Bacillati; Actinomycetota; Actinomycetes; Mycobacteriales; Mycobacteriaceae
Also listed under: 2 other names
Description: tRNA-Gly
Source: RNAcentral
GCGGCGCUUCUUCCGCGGCAUGGAAUUCGCCGCGCCCGUCGGCGAUCCGGGCUGGUUCGGUCCCGACAGCGCCGUG